RNAcentral lists this ribosomal RNA (491 nucleotides) under uncultured bacterium. RNAcentral's name for it is "bacterial SSU rRNA". It matches the Rfam family "Bacterial small subunit ribosomal RNA", at positions 21 to 507 of the family's 1533-position model. The record is from RNAcentral.
GGCUCAGGAUGAACGCUAGCGGCAGGCUUAAUACAUGCAAGUCGUGGGGCAGCAUGAGUAGCAAUACUUGAUGGCGACCGGCAAACGGGUGAGGAACACGUACGCAACCUUCCUUCAAGCGGGGAAUAGCCCAGAGAAAUUUGGAUUAAUACCCAUAAUAUAUUUGAUAAGGCAUCUUAUUAAUAUUAAAGCUUCGGCACUUGAUGAUGGGUGUGCGGCUGAUUAGAUAGUUGGCGGGGUAACGGCCCACCAAGUCUACGAUCAGUAGCUGAUGUGAGAGCAUGAUCAGCCACACGGGCACUGAGACACGGGCCCGACUCCUACGGGAGGCAGCAGUAAGGAAUAUUGGACAAUGGACGAAAGUCUGAUCCAGCCAUGCCGCGUGAAGGAUUAAGGUCCUCUGGAUUGUAAACUUCUUUUAUAUGGGACGAAAAAAGGGCAUUCUUGUUCACUUGACGGUACCAUAUGAAUAAGCACCGGCUAACUCCGUG